AGCCGUGUGACUCAGUUGGUAGAGUGUGGUGCUUGCAACGCCAUGGGUUGUAGGUUCGAUUCCCACGGUGG
This 71-nucleotide transfer RNA is filed under the name Salmo salar (Atlantic salmon). It matches the Rfam family "tRNA". Rfam says of the family: Transfer RNA (tRNA) molecules are approximately 80 nucleotides in length. Their secondary structure includes four short double-helical elements and three loops (D, anti-codon, and T loops). Further hydrogen bonds mediate the characteristic L-shaped molecular structure. tRNAs have two regions of fundamental functional importance: the anti-codon, which is responsible for specific mRNA codon recognition, and the 3' end, to which the tRNAs corresponding amino acid is attached (by aminoacyl-tRNA synthetases). tRNAs cope with the degeneracy of the genetic code in two manners: having more than one tRNA (with a specific anti-codon) for a particular amino acid; and 'wobble' base-pairing, i.e. permitting non-standard base-pairing at the 3rd anti-codon position. Lineage: Eukaryota; Metazoa; Chordata; Actinopteri; Salmoniformes; Salmonidae. The record is from Rfam by way of RNAcentral.